Molecule: ribosomal RNA, 120 nt
Filed under: uncultured bacterium
Lineage: Bacteria
Description: partial 16S ribosomal RNA
Rfam family: Bacterial small subunit ribosomal RNA
Source: RNAcentral
GACGAACGCUGGCGGCGUGCUUAACACAUGCAAGUCACGGGGGCUCGCAAGAGCAACCGGCGAACGGGUGCGUAACACGUGAGCAAUCUGCCGAUUUCUGGGGGAUAGCCGGCCCAACGG